AUUGAACGCUGGCGGCAGGCCUAACACAUGCAAGUCGAACGGUAACAGGAAGACGCUUGCUUCUUUGCUGACGAGUGGCGGACGGGUGAGUAAUGUCUGGGAAACUGCCUGAUGGAGGGGGAUAACUACUGGAAACGGUAGCUAAUACCGCAUAACGUCGCAAGACCAAAGAGGGGGACCUUCGGGCCUCUUGCCAUCGGAUGUGCCCAGAUGGGAUUAGCUAGGGGGUGGGGUAACGGCUCACCUAGGCGACGAUCCCUAGCUGGUCUGAGAGGAUGACCAGCCACACUGGAACUGAGACACGGUCCAGACUCCUACGGGAGGCAGCAGUGGGGAAUAUUGCACAAUGGGCGCAAGCCUGAUGCAGCCAUGCCGCGUGUAUGAAGAAGGCCUUCGGGUUGUAAAGUACUUUCAGCGGGGAGGAAGGGAGUAAAGUUAAUACCUUUGCUCAUUGACGUUACCCGCAGAAGAAGCACCGGCUAACUCCGUG
This 490-nucleotide ribosomal RNA is filed under the name uncultured bacterium. Its description in RNAcentral is "partial 16S ribosomal RNA". It matches the Rfam family "Bacterial small subunit ribosomal RNA", at positions 30 to 507 of the family's 1533-position model. The record is from RNAcentral.